Molecule: ribosomal RNA, 1065 nt
Filed under: Triticum aestivum (bread wheat)
Lineage: Eukaryota; Viridiplantae; Streptophyta; Magnoliopsida; Poales; Poaceae
Description: partial small subunit ribosomal RNA
Source: RNAcentral
CUAGCAUGGGAUAAGAUGACGAGACCAAAAAGUGAAAGGGGUAUGGGCUUUCGCGAUCUUCAGCUUUUUAAUCAAGCGCUUCUGGCGAAACAAGCUUGGCGUCUAUUAGUUUUCCCGGACUCUUUGUGUGCAAAGGUGAUGAAAGCUAAAUAUUAUCCUCAUGGGCACCUUAUUGAUAUGGUAUUCCCUCAAGUUACAUCCCUUACUUGGCAAGGAAUUAUGCAUGACCUCGAAUUGCUUUAAAAUGGCAUUAUUUGGAGAGUGGUCAAUGGGACUAGUAUAAAUAUUUGGAGGGAUAAUUGGAUCCCUAGGGAAUCUGGUCUUCAAAUUUGCGAAAAAAAGAACAGGACUAGAAUCAAAUGGGUGUCCGAGUUAUUUUUGAGUGGAUCUAGGAGUUGGGAUGAGAACCUGAUAAGGCAUCUAUUUUGUAUUCAUGAUGCGGAGGAGAUCCCAAAGUUGCGUACCCUUCAAGUGGGCGAGGGAGAUAUUAUUGCUUGGCACCAUGAGAAAAGUGGCUUGUUCUUGGUGAAGAGUGCGUAUAGACUGGCUCUGAAUAUUAAGGAACCGAGGAUUGAUUCUGGCAAUUCCAGUGACGCCAUAAACAGGGAUAGUAGGCUCUGGAAUAUUAUUUGGAAUGCUAAUGUCCCUUAGAAAAUUAGAAUUUUUGCCUGGAGGGCUGCUUCUAAUAGUUUGGCAGUUCAACUCAAUAGGGUUAAACAUCAUCAAGCUACUCUAGGUACAUGCUUCAUAUGUGGUAUUGACGAUGAGGGUAUUUAUCACGCAUUGGUGGUUUAUCCCAAGGCUCGUGCGUUUCGUAUGGCAUUGAAGGAAGUGUGGAAAUUACCGGCGGAGGAGACCUUCAAAUAUUCUGGACCGGACUGGUUCCUUACUUUAUUGGACCAGUUAACUUCGCAUGUAUGCGAGCAAACUAUAUUCAUGUUCUGGAGAGCUUGUCACUUGAGGAAUGAUUUGAUCUCUGGUAGGGGAAUGGAAUCCAUCUCAGCCUCGGUGAGUUUUGUCAAAAAUUAUUGGGCAUCUUUCUCGUCUUGUCACGCUAAAAUGUAG